GUCUCAGUGGCGCAAUGGUAGCGGUAAGUUCUCCGUUACUUUCCUAUUGAAUAUGCGCUAAUUCGAGCUUAGCGUUGGACUUCUAGCUGAUUACGUAACCAAGUAAUUUGAUAUCCAAAGGUUGUGGGUUCGAGCCCCACCUGAGAUG
Massariosphaeria phaeospora is the source of this 148-nucleotide non-coding RNA. Lineage: Eukaryota; Fungi; Ascomycota; Dothideomycetes; Pleosporales. The record is from the annotation of a GenBank genome assembly.